GCCAUCAUAGCGUAAUGGAUAACGCAUCGGACUCCUAAUCCGGAGAUUGUGGGUUCGAGUCCCAUUGAUGGUA
Chlamydoabsidia padenii is the source of this 73-nucleotide non-coding RNA. NCBI's taxonomy places the organism in Eukaryota, Fungi, Mucoromycota, Mucoromycetes, Mucorales, Cunninghamellaceae. The record is from the annotation of a GenBank genome assembly.